Molecule: microRNA precursor, 118 nt
Filed under: Chlorocebus sabaeus (green monkey)
Lineage: Eukaryota; Metazoa; Chordata; Mammalia; Primates; Cercopithecidae
Description: miRNA (ENSCSAG00000025101.1)
Source: RNAcentral
CCUAUUAGAUUGGUGCAAAAGUAAUUGUGGUUUUUGCCAUUGAAAGUAAUGGCAAAGUAAUAAAGUAAUAAAAUCGACCAUUAGUACUUCAUUCCUCUGAGUGAAGUAUUGCACUCAA